UGGCGGCGUGCCUAAUACAUGCAAGUCGAACGAGAAAGCCCUUCGGGGUGAGUACAGUGGCAGACGGGUGAGUAAUGCAUAGGUAACCUGCCUCCGAGAUGGGGACAACCUUCCGAAAGGAGGGCUAAUACCGAAUGAGACCACAACGACUUAGUCGAAGGGGUCAAAGGUGGCCUCUACUUGUAAGCUAUCGCUCGGAGAUGGGCUUAUGUGCCAUUAGCCUGUUGGUGAGGUAACAGCUCACCAAAGCUACGAUGGCUAGCUGAUCUGAGAGGUUGAUCAGCCACACUGGAACUGAGACACGGUCCAGACUUCUACGGAAGGCAGCAGUAGGGAAUAUUGCGCAAUGGAGGAAACUCUGACGCAGCGACGCCGUGUGAGUGAUGAAGGCUUUCGGGUCGUAAAGCUCUGUCGGAAGGGAAGAACUGCGCUAUGGCUAAUAUCCAUAGCGUUUGACGGUACCUUCAAAGGAAGCACCGGCUAACUACGUGCCAGCAGCCGCGGUAAUACGUAGGGUGCAAGCGUUGUUCGGAAUUAUUGGGCGUAAAGCGCGUGUGGGUGGCUUGUUAAGUCGGAUGUGAAAGCCCAGGGCUCAACCCUGGAAGUGCAUCCGGAAACUAAUUUGCUAGAGGGCAGCAGAGGGAGAUGGAAAUUCCUAGUGUAGAGGUGAAAUUCGUAGAUAUUAGGAGGAAUACCGGUGGCGAAGGCGGUCUCCUGGACUGUUCCUGACACUGAGACGCGAAAGCGUGGGUAGCACACAGGAUUAAGAUACCCUGGUAGUCCACGCCGGUAAACGAUGGGGUACUAGAUGCUGUGAGAUAGACCCUCACAGUGUCGUAGUUAACGCGUUAAGUACCCCGCCUGGGAAGUACGGCCGCAAGGUUAAAACUCAAAGGAAUUGACGGGGGCCCGCACAAGCGGUGGAGCAUGUGGUUUAAUUCGAUGCAACGCGAGGAACCUUACCUGGGCUUGACAUCCCCGGACCGCUCCAGAGAUGGAGUUUCCUCUUCGGAGGCCGGGUGACAGGUGCUGCAUGGCUGUCGUCAGCUCGUAUCGUGAGAUGUCGGGUUAAGUCCCUUAACGAGUGCAACCCCUAUCCCUAGUUGCCAUCAUUCAGUUGGGCACUCUACGGAGACUGCCGGUGUUAAACCGGAGGAAGGUGGGGAUGACGUCAAGUCCUCAUGGCCUUUAUGUCCAGGGCUACACACGUGCUACAAUGGCUGGUACAGAGGGUUGCCAACCCGCGAGGGGGAGCUAAUCUCAAAAAGCCAGUCUCAGUUCGGAUUGGAGUCUGCAACUCGACUCCAUGAAGCUGGAAUCGCUAGUAAUGGCGUAUCAGAAUGACGCCGUGAAUACGUUCCCGGGCCUUGUACACACCGCCCGUCACACCACGAAAGUUGAUUUCACCAGAAGUCGCUCGCCUAAC
Molecule: ribosomal RNA, 1426 nt
Filed under: uncultured organism
Description: bacterial SSU rRNA
Rfam family: Bacterial small subunit ribosomal RNA
Source: RNAcentral